AGUGAACGCUGGCGGUAGGCCUAACACAUGCAAGUCGAACGGCAGCACAGUAAGAGCUUGCUCUUACGGGUGGCGAGUGGCGGACGGGUGAGGAAUACAUCGGAAUCUACUUUUUCGUGGGGGAUAACGUAGGGAAACUUACGCUAAUACCGCAUACGACCUACGGGUGAAAGCAGGGGAUCUUCGGACCUUUCGCGAUUGAAUGAGCCGAUGUCGGAUUAGCUAGUUGGCGGGGUAAAGGCCCACCAAGGCGACGAUCCGUAGCUGGUCCGAGAGGAUGAUCAGCCACACUGGAACUGAGACACGGUCCAGACUCCUACGGGAGGCAGCAGUGGGGAAUAUUGGACAAUGGGCGCAAGCCUGAUCCAGCCAUGCCGCGUGGGUGAAGAAGGCCUUCGGGUUGUAAAGCCCUGUUGUUGGGAAAGAAAAGCAGCAGGUUAAUACCCCGCUGUUCUGACGGUACCCAAAGAAUAAGCACCGGCUAACUUCGUG
Molecule: ribosomal RNA, 492 nt
Filed under: uncultured bacterium
Lineage: Bacteria
Description: partial 16S ribosomal RNA
Rfam family: Bacterial small subunit ribosomal RNA
Source: RNAcentral